UAGUUAUGACAAAUAUAAGGAUCAUAUUAUAAAAUACAAAUAGUUUUGAAAUUAAGUUUGAAGUUUUGCUUUUGGAGAAUAACACUUUUAAACUUCAAAUAUAAAAUUUUGGAAACUUCAAAAUAGAGUUCCUUUUUGAGAUGCUCUUAUACCAUCAAUGGCAUCAUGAGAGAUUGGAUGACCGAAAUCAAGAUGAAAAAUCUCUUUGUUUGUCUCCAUUCGUGUCGUUUAGCCUUCUACUUUACUCAACCGAAACGGUCCGAGUCACAGCCAUCGCCUUCUUACUCUAUACACCGACAUGAAGCACGAUCUGACAUUGAUUAUGAAUUGUGCCUCUGCAAGGCGGUUUAGUCUACACCUAUAAAAAUGAUCUUCCAACUCUUAUGCUAGAAAAUACAGUUUUUGAUGUUCUCAAAAUUCUUAGUUGCAAUAGAAGAUUGUGACUGAGAUCUUACCGGCAAAGAAAUUCUACAAAGCUGAAAAAUACCAUCAGCAUUACCUCUCCAAAGGUGGGAAUAGUGGCCAUGCACAGUCCCCUUCAAAGAGCUGCAAGGACCCUAUCAGCUGCUUUGGCUGAGGAAAAGCUUUUGCUCCUCUUCCACCAAAACAGAGGAUUCUCAGAGAAUAUGUAUCUGUUUGUGUGUGUGUGUGUGUGUGUGUUGAUUUGUAAGUCUCAGUUAAUAAUAAAGAUGCAUGUGUGAUCAAAAGAUAAUUUUUGAGCCACUGAACUGUUCUUGAGGAGGGAGGACUUUACAUUGGUGUUAUCA
This is a long non-coding RNA of Brassica napus (rape), 767 nucleotides long. RefSeq lists it as uncharacterized. NCBI's taxonomy places the organism in Eukaryota, Viridiplantae, Streptophyta, Magnoliopsida, Brassicales, Brassicaceae. The transcript has 3 exons. The record is from RefSeq and is a predicted model, not a curated record.